Molecule: long non-coding RNA, 3542 nt
Organism: Oncorhynchus nerka (sockeye salmon)
Lineage: Eukaryota; Metazoa; Chordata; Actinopteri; Salmoniformes; Salmonidae
Exons: 2
Source: RefSeq, a predicted model, not a curated record
CCCCGUAGAGGUGGAGGGGAGUACCCCGUAGAGGUGGAGGGGAGUACCCCCGUAGAGGUGGAGGGGAGUACCCCCGUAGAGGUGGAGGGGAGUACCCCCGUAGAGGUGGAGGGGAGUACCCCGUAGAGGUGGAGGGGAGUAACCCCGUAGAGGGUAGAGGUGGAGGGGAGUACCCCGUACAGGUGGAGGGGAGUACCCCGUACAGGUGGAGGGGAGUACCCCGUACAGGUGGAGGGGAGUACCCCGUAGAGGCGGAGGGGAGUACCCCCCGUAGAGGCGGAGGGGAGUACCCCCGUAGAGGCGGAGGGGAGUAACCCCGUAGAGGUGGAGGGGAGUAACCCCGUAAAGAUAAAGACAGACAUAUCUACUGUGUUAUAAAUGCUAUGGGGAUAUUGCUAAUAUGAGAGGCAGUUUCCAUCCAACUCAACUGUGGGCAAAAGUUUUGAGAAUGACACACAUAUUAAUUUUCACAAAGUGUGCUGCCUCGGUUUGUAUGAUGGCAAUUUGCAUAUAGUCCAGAAUGUUAUGAAGAGUGAUCAGAUGAAUUGCAAUUAAUUGCAAAGUCCCUCUUUGCCAUGCAAAUGAACUGAAUCCCCCAAAAAACAUUUCCGCUGCAUUUCAGCCCUGCCACAAAAGGACCAGCUGACAUCAUGUCAGUGAUUCUCUCAUUAACACAGGUGUGAGUGUUGACGAGGACACGGCUGGAGAUAACUCUGUCAUGCUGAUUGAGUUUGAAUAACAGACUGGAAACUUCAAAAAGAGGGUGGUGCUUGGAAUCAUUGUUCUUCCUCUGUCAAUCAUGGUUACCUGCAAGGAAACACGUGCCGUCAUCAUUGCUUUGCACAAAAAGGGCUUCACAGGCAAGGAUCUUGCUGCCGGUAAGAUUGCACCUAAAUCAACCAUUUAUCGGAUCAUCAAGAACUUCAAGGAGAGCAGUUCAAUUGUUGUGAAGAAGGCUUCAGGGCGCCCAAGAAAUUCCAGCAAGCACCAGGACCAUCUCCUAAAGUUGAUUCAGCUGUGGGAUUGGGGCACCACCAGUAGAGCUUGCUCAGGAAUGGCAGCAGGCAGGUGUGAGUGCAUCUGCACGCACAGUGAGGCAAAGACUUUUGGAAGAUGGCCUGAUGUCAAGAAGGGCAGCAAAGAAGCCACUUUUCUCCAGGAAAAACAUCAGGGACAGACUGAUAUUCUGCAGAAGGUACAGGGAUUGGACUGCUGAGGACUGGGGUAAAGUCAUUUUCUCUGAUGAAUCCCCUUUCCGAUUGUUUGGGGCAUCUGGAAAAAAGCUUGUCCGGAGAAGACAAGGUGAGCGCUACCAUCAGUCCUGUGUCAUGCCAACAGUAAAGCAUCCUGAGACCAUUCAUGUGUGGGGUUGCUUCUCAGCCAAGGGAGUGGGCUCACUCACAAUUUUGCCUAAGAAAACAGCCAUGAAUAAAGAAUGGUACCAACACAUCCUCCGAGAGCAACUUCUCCCAACCAUCCAGGAACAGUUUGGUGACGAACAAUGCCUUUUCCAGUGUGAUGGAGCACCUUGCCAUAAGGCAAAAGUGAUAACUAAGUGGCUCGGGGAACAAAACAUCGAUAUUUUGGGUCCAUGGCCAGGAAACUCCCCAGACCUUAAUCCCAUUGAGAAUGUGUGGUCAAUCCUCAAGAGGCAGGUGGACAAACAAAAACCCACAAAUUCUGACAAACUCCAAGCAUUAAUUAUGCAAGAAUGGGCUGCUAUCAUUCCGGAUGUGGCCCAGAAGUUAAUUGACAGCAUGCCAUGUAAUUGUCAAUAAAAGCCUUUGACACUCAUUAAAUGCUUGUAAUUAUACUUCAGUAUUCCAUAGUAACAUCUGACAAAAAUAUCUAAAGACACUGAAGCAGCAAACUUUGUGGAAAUUAAUAUUUGUGUCAUUGUCAUUGACUCAGUCAGAAUGUGACAUGGUGAAAUGGUGCUUCGAGUGAUAGACAAUAUAGAGACAGAAUACAGACAGAGGACUUUACACAGUGAACAUGUAAUGAUAAUAGAAUGAGUGAAUUACCAGUCAGGAUAUAAAGGUAUAGAACUAAGCUCAGACUCAACAGUCACAGCUGGUUAAAUAUACAGGAGACUCUAUAGUCAUUGGAAGUCAACAACUGCCAUGUAAAGCUCUUUCAGAAGACAUUAAAGAAUGUGUCAGGAUCAAAACAAUGACAGCAAUGUUUGUCACCUUUUCCUGCUGAAUCAGUUUUCUACCAACAUAGACAAUAUGAAAGUAAAAUACAGGGUUUGUUCAGGCUACUGUACUGAAUUUUAAAACUUUCUAAAAAUCCCUGCUUUAGUGAUAGUCACAAUCAUCACAGUCACCUACAGUCAAAAACAGAUGCUUUUUAGAGAGAGGGAGAGGGAGGGGGAGAGAGAGAGAGGGAGAGAGGGCAUUCUGCGGAGUGUCUUUGUAGGCAGGCUUUUCUGCAGUGUCAUUCUCUCAAGGUGUUUGUGCUUCAGUCCUCUUCUCUUCCACAGCUCUUCACUUCAAGCCUAAUUAGCUUUCCCCUCUUGAGAUAGAUAAUCGCUUGCGACAGCUUCCCCAAUCACUCUCCAUCUAGUAUCCUGAACCAGCGCAAAUAACAGAUCAACUUAGCAGCCAGUCGAUAUGGAGACCUUCCUGCCCCCCCCUCUCUCCUACUCUUAACUGAUUGACUCUUUGAUAGCAUCAGACGUGUUUUAAAAAUGUCCUCUCUGUAUAAACAAUGUUGUGCAGUAUUUUAUUUAUUUUGUAAUAUAUAAAUAUAUAUAAAUCGGAUCUAUUUUUACACCUGUUUGAUUUUCAUGGAUGUGUGUCUGUGUGUGUGUGAGGACAGAGUUUGGGAAGCGCUGGUUUAAGGUAGACCAACAAAGUGAGACUAAGAUUUGAGGUUAGGAGUUGACCCAAUCAGAAAUGUCUUUAUUUAUUUAGAUGGUUGAGUUUCUUUUUGUUUCAGAUGUGUUGUUGAUGUCAUUGCUCUAGAUCUCUGUGAUCUCUUUUUGUCGGUUAAGACAAGGUGAGAGCAGACAUCAUAGAAUGUGUUCCCGUUUCAAAUGCUAUGUGUAGCCUAACAUGGGCAUGGAAUGGCCUUAUUGUGAAGUCCUCUCCCAUUGGUAAUAUUAUGAUGUCCGUAUCACCCCCCCCAAUCCCAUGUGUUUCAACAGUGUCACUUCCUCCAGUGUUAGUUUGUGUUUUUGCAUCAUCCAAAAACAUGAGAUGAAAUUCAUUUCUAUAUUUUCAGAAAGAAGAGCUGGACUUGGACUUAAACCUAAAAAAAAGGCUCCAAUUUACUAAAUGAAUUUCAGGAGCGGAUAAGUUUCCAGCUGCCCUCACUGCCUUAACCCCCAGGUUCUGCUUCCACAUUUCCAAACAGAGAGUGAAACGGCUUUUCUUAGGAACAUGGAACGGUGUACAGUAGACCGAUGUCAGUUUGUAGAGAGUACUAGGUGAAAAACAGAAUAUUUAUUACUUGCGUUGGAAGAAAUUGUUUACUUAUUGAAUGUUUUCUGUCUAAUGUAUAGGAGUUUAGAUGUAAUAAAAAAGCAUUUUUGUUAA